RNAcentral lists this ribosomal RNA (253 nucleotides) under uncultured bacterium. RNAcentral describes it as "partial 16S ribosomal RNA". It matches the Rfam family "Bacterial small subunit ribosomal RNA", at positions 524 to 776 of the family's 1533-position model. The record is from RNAcentral.
UACGUAGGGUGCGAGCGUUAAUCGGAAUUACUGGGCGUAAAGGGCGCGUAGGCGGCCUUCUAAGUCGGACGUGAAAUCCCCCGGCUUAACCUGGGAACUGCGUCUGAUACUGGAGGGCUUGAGUGCGGGAGAGGGAUGUGGAAUUCCAGGUGUAGCGGUGAAAUGCGUAGAUAUCUGGAGGAACACCGGUGGCGAAGGCGGCAUCCUGGACCGACACUGACGCUGAGGCGCGAAAGCGUGGGGAGCAAACGGG